CAAUCAGAUCUGGAUGUGGGGAGUGUGGAACCCAGAUGUUCAGAGGGAGAUGAUGCCACAUCUGGUCCAGCUGAUGGAAGGUCUUGAAGUUCUCUGACUGGCCUCGACUGAAGAUGGUCGUCUCACUGGAUUUAAGGUUCAGAUGCUCCGUAACAAACUCCACCAAUGAGCCAACAGGGAAGCUUUAGGUUUAUUAAAUGUUGCUAUGAAGGUUUCACUGUUUUUCUUUGUGAAUGCAAUGUGCUCCAACUGAAACUUGAAUUAGAACUUAGAAGUAAAUCCUUCCAUUUGAAAGGAUUUAGUUGCAUUAAUAACCUGAUAACAUUCAAAUUUUUAUUCCAGUCUUGGUUGGAAAUAGAAUCUCUGUAUUGAUUCAGGUAAAAACUGAACUUCACAGCAUGUUGAAGCAAAACAACCAGAUGAAAACUGUGAUGGCGUUGGAUUGUCAGACCGUAAUGUUGCAGCUCAAAGCAGC
This is a long non-coding RNA of Amphiprion ocellaris (clown anemonefish), 475 nucleotides long. The record is from Ensembl. NCBI's taxonomy places the organism in Eukaryota, Metazoa, Chordata, Actinopteri, Pomacentridae.